RNAcentral lists this ribosomal RNA (465 nucleotides) under Vreelandella stevensii. RNAcentral describes it as "partial 16S ribosomal RNA". It matches the Rfam family "Bacterial small subunit ribosomal RNA", at positions 338 to 795 of the family's 1533-position model. Lineage: Bacteria; Pseudomonadati; Pseudomonadota; Gammaproteobacteria; Oceanospirillales; Halomonadaceae. The record is from RNAcentral.
CCUACGGGGGGCAGCAGUGGGGAAUAUUGGACAAUGGGGGCAACCCUGAUCCAGCCAUGCCGCGUGUGUGAAGAAGGCCCUCGGGUUGUAAAGCACUUUCAGUGAGGAAGAACGCCUGGUGGUUAAUACCCAUCAGGAAAGACAUCACUCACAGAAGAAGCACCGGCUAACUCCGUGCCAGCUGCCGCGGUAAUACGGAGGGUGCGAGCGUUAAUCGGAAUUACUGGGCGUAAAGCGCGCGUAGGUGGCUUGAUAAGCCGGUUGUGAAAGCCCCGGGCUCAACCUGGGAACGGCAUCCGGAACUGUCAAGCUAGAGUGCAGGAGAGGAAGGUAGAAUUCCCGGUGUAGCGGUGAAAUGCGUAGAGAUCGGGAGGAAUACCAGUGGCGAAGGCGGCCUUCUGGACUGACACUGACACUGAGGUGCGAAAGCGUGGGUAGCAAACAGGAUUAGAUACCCUAGUAGUC